AUUAUUAACAUGUUUGCUUUGUGCGUAGGAACUAAAACAUUCUAAUGUGCUUUUUUUUCUUAUGCAGCAUUACCACCACAAGUUUCAUGUAACUGCACGUCUCAGCCGGAUGAAAAGCUGCAACCCGAGUUGCGGCGUACUGUUAAUGACCAUGCAAACAGUUGGCAUGUUGCAGUGGUUGGCUGCGCUGUCAUUAUGUUUGCCACAGGCGUGUUUUGUACCUCGGGCCUUUUCUAUGUCUACUUCAUGGAGGCGUUCUGCGUCAGCCACGAAGCCGCUUCGUGGCCAGCCAGUGCAAUGGGCGUGACACUUAACUGCUCAGGUCUCGUCGUUUCUUUGCUCCAGCGCUUCCUGAGCAUUUUCCAAAUUUCCCUGCUUGGCAGCAUUCUUCUCUGGACAAGUCUCAUGCUGUCGGCAUUUGCGCCUAACGUGGGGGUCAUGACUGUACUCUUUGGAGCUCUUCACGGCUUGGGAAUCGGAUUCAUGGAGAAUACGAUGGCGGUGACUGUAGCGACCUCGUUCCUGGAACAUCAGUCUUUCGCAAUGGGUUUGAAAGACGGCGGGCGCACCUUGGCUGUUCUUGUUUUCCCCUCCCUUGUAUCCCGUUUAAAUUCAGUAUACGGCGUCCGCAGCACGCUAGCACUUUGUGGAGCGCUUCUUAUGCACGUAACCGUGCUAGUGUUAGCGCUGCGGCGGUGCCCGGCUAUGGGACGACAGCAUUUUGGCCCCACUAAUACCGAAACUACGUGUGCCGUGACACCUAGGUCAAUGGAAAGCAGGCGCCAUUGCAAAGAAUCAUUCCAUGGCAACACGAGCACAACAAACGUAGCAACUAUGAAUUAUAAGUCCUGUAAAAACUUUGAGAGAGCAUCCACACGCCAGGAAAAUAACGUUGUGCUGUUUGAAAUGGCUAAGCCGAUUCCACAUAGCGAAAUAAACAUAUACGCUCAGAAGAAAGACACUGGUGGCGCCCCAUCAGCACCAGCAAACACUACCCCAAAAGGCAGCAUGAAUCCCGUAGAGCAACUUCAUG
Long non-coding RNA from Dermacentor albipictus, 1033 nucleotides. RefSeq lists it as uncharacterized. The record is from RefSeq and is a predicted model, not a curated record. Lineage: Eukaryota; Metazoa; Arthropoda; Arachnida; Ixodida; Ixodidae.